UGUUCCGCGCCGGCUCCCCUGGCGGCGGCCCUCGGCCCGCUCUGCCCGCUCCUCCCGCAACCCAUCUGCACCUCUACCCGGGCCGGCACUCUGGGAUAGGCCAGCGUGCUGGCCCCCGCGGGGAUGUGUGAGGUCCUGUGUCGUGUUAAAACAUGCACCCGUGUUGCCACUUAAGAAAGUGACGCUGGGGGUUAGCCUUGAGGCCGCUGAAGUGAGGGCACGGUGGUGCAGACCGGGUGCUCGGCCAAGGUGGAAGUUCACGGAGCUCAGGAGGACGUCGCACUCCUAUGAGACAGCCACAUUGAGAAACACCUGCAGAAACAUCCAGAAUCUGACCUUAAGGCUGAAUGGAGUGAUAAAGGCAUUCGGAGAAGGGGGAGUUUAAGAUGUUUACACGCGCUUUCUACAUUAUUCUUGAUCUCCAGAACAGUUCGAUCAUAAGGCAAGUUUUGAAAUUCCUCCACGAGGAGCAGCUGCACCACUGGUCAUUAUUCCUCCAUGUCUACGUGAAUAUUUCUUACUCUACCAAUGAAUAAACCAAAACUGAAAGUCCA
This is a long non-coding RNA of Cynocephalus volans (Philippine flying lemur), 554 nucleotides long. RefSeq lists it as uncharacterized. The record is from RefSeq and is a predicted model, not a curated record. NCBI's taxonomy places the organism in Eukaryota, Metazoa, Chordata, Mammalia, Dermoptera, Cynocephalidae. The transcript is spliced from 2 exons.